AUUUACUUAGCGUGUAAGGAACCAGAACUUUUACUUUGAAAAAAUUAGAGUGUUCAAAGCAGGCCUUUGCUCGAAUACAUUAGCAUGGAAUAAUAGAAUAGGACGUGCGGUCCUAUUUUGUUGGUUUCUAGGACCGCCGUAAUGAUUAAUAGGGAUAGUCGGGGGCAUCAGUAUUCAAUUGUCAGAGGUGAAAUUCUUGGAUUUAUUGAAGACUAACUACUGCGAAAGCAUUUGCCAAGGAUGUUUUCAUUAAUCAGUGAACGAAAGUUAGGGGAUCGAAGACGAUCAGAUACCGUCGUAGUCUUAACCGUAAACUAUGCCGACUAGGGAUCGGGCGAUGUUAUUAUUUUGACUCGCUCGGCACCUUACGAGAAAUCGAAGUCUUUGGGUUCUGGGGGGAGUAUGGUCGCAAGGCUGAAACUUAAAGAAAUUGACGGAAGGGCGCCACCAGGCGUGGAACCUGCGGCUUAAUUUGACUCAACACGGGGAAACUCACCGGGUCCGGACAACUUUAGGAUUGACAGAUUGAGAGCUCUUUCUUGAUUAGUUGGGUGGUGGUGCAUGGCCGUUCUUAGUUGGUGGAGUGAUUUGUCUGCUUAAUUGCGAUAACGAACGAGACCUUAACCUGCUAAAUAGCCCGGCUAGCUUUUGCUGGUCGCCGGCUUCUUAGAGGGACUAUCGGCUCAAGCCGAUGGAAGUUUGAGGCAAUAACAGGUCUGUGAUGCCCUUAGAUGUCCCGGGCCGCACGCGCGUUACACUGACAGAGCCAACGAGUUCAUCACCUUGGCCGAAAGGUCUGGGUAAUCUUGUUAAACUCUGUCGUGCUGG
This 828-nucleotide ribosomal RNA is filed under the name uncultured fungus. RNAcentral's name for it is "SSU rRNA". It matches the Rfam family "Eukaryotic small subunit ribosomal RNA", at positions 722 to 1573 of the family's 1831-position model. Lineage: Eukaryota; Fungi. The record is from RNAcentral.